GCAAAACUCACACCUUCCACAUCUACUUAUCUGACGACAGAGAAGAAAACAGACAGUAGUGGACCCAUAGUUUAACAUGAUGGACUACAGGACAGGACUGGUACUGUUAACCAUCUACUGGGCAGGUGUUGAUGGUCAGACUCUGACUGAAUCUGGACCUGCAGUGAAAAGUCCUGGAGAAUCCCACACACUGACCUGUACCACAUCUGGAUUCACAUUCAGCAGCUACUGGAUGGCCUGGAUCAGACAGGCUCCUGGAAAAGGACUGGAGUGGAUCGCUUGGAUCAGUAGUGGUAGUGGCAGCACUACUUAUUAUUCCCAGUCUGUUCAAGGUCGUUUCACCAUCUCCAGAGACAACGGCAGAAACCAGCUGUAUCUGCAGAUGAACAGUCUGAAAACUGAAGACUCUGCUGUUUAUUAUUGUGCACGAGAGACACAGUGA
This is a non-coding RNA of Sphaeramia orbicularis (orbiculate cardinalfish), 442 nucleotides long. The record is from the annotation of a RefSeq genome assembly. Lineage: Eukaryota; Metazoa; Chordata; Actinopteri; Kurtiformes; Apogonidae.